GACGAACGCUGGCGGCGUGCUUAACACAUGCAAGUCGAACGGAAAGGCCCUGCUUUUGUGGGGUGCUCGAGUGGCGAACGGGUGAGUAACACGUGAGUAACCUGCCCUUGACUUUGGGAUAACUUCAGGAAACUGGGGCUAAUACCGGAUAGGAGCUCCUGCUGCAUGGUGGGGGUUGGAAAGUUUCGGCGGUUGGGGAUGGACUCGCGGCUUAUCAGCUUGUUGGUGGGGUAGUGGCUUACCAAGGCUUUGACGGGUAGCCGGCCUGAGAGGGUGACCGGCCACAUUGGGACUGAGCUACGGCCCAGACUACUACGGGAGGCAGCAGUGGGGAAUAUUGCACAAUGGGCGGAAGCCUGAUGCAGCAACGCCGCGUGCGGGAUGACGGCCUUCGGGUUGUAAACCGCUUUCGCCUGUGACGAAGCGUGAGUGGCGGUAAUGGGUAAAGAAGCACCGGCUAACUACGUG
Molecule: ribosomal RNA, 468 nt
Filed under: uncultured bacterium
Lineage: Bacteria
Description: partial 16S ribosomal RNA
Rfam family: Bacterial small subunit ribosomal RNA
Source: RNAcentral